GAUGAACGCUAGCGGCGGGCUUAACACAUGCAAGUCGAGGGGUAUUGGUUUUCGGACCAAGAGACCGGCGCACGGGUGCGUAACGCGUAUGCAAUCUACCUUUUGCAGAGGGAUAGCCCCAGAGAAAUUUGGAUUAAUACCUCAUAGUAUAGUACUUUGGCAUCAAGGAACUAUUAAAGUCACAACGGCAAAAGAUGAGCAUGCGUCCCAUUAGCUAGUUGGUAAGGUAACGGCUUACCAAGGCUACGAUGGGUAGGGGUCCUGAGAGGGAGAUCCCCCACACUGGUACUGAGACACGGACCAGACUCCUACGGGAGGCAGCAGUGAGGAAUAUUGGUCAAUGGGCGCAAGCCUGAACCAGCCAUGCCGCGUGCAGGAAGACGGUCCUAUGGAUUGUAAACUGCUUUAUACAGGAAGAAACCCUCCCACGUGUGGGAGCUUGACGGUACUGUAGGAAUAAGGAUCGGCUAAACCUUCCGUCGGCCAGCAGCCGCGGUAA
RNAcentral lists this ribosomal RNA (499 nucleotides) under uncultured bacterium. Its description in RNAcentral is "bacterial SSU rRNA". It matches the Rfam family "Bacterial small subunit ribosomal RNA", at positions 28 to 523 of the family's 1533-position model. The record is from RNAcentral.